GAACCGGUCUCGCGCAAUGGGGCCCCGUGAACCAUGUCAGGCGGGGAACCGAGCAGCAUUCAGCGGGAUGUCCCAUGUGCCGCGAGGGUGCCGGUUCCGC
RNAcentral lists this signal recognition particle RNA (100 nucleotides) under Dysosmobacter sp. Its description in RNAcentral is "signal recognition particle sRNA small type". It matches the Rfam family "Bacterial small signal recognition particle RNA". Rfam says of the family: The signal recognition particle (SRP) is a universally conserved ribonucleoprotein involved in the co-translational targeting of proteins to membranes. Archaeal SRP consists of a 7S RNA and homologues of the eukaryotic SRP19 and SRP54 proteins. In most bacteria, the SRP consists of a 4.5S RNA and the Ffh protein (a homologue of the eukaryotic SRP54 protein). Lineage: Bacteria; Bacillati; Bacillota; Clostridia; Eubacteriales; Oscillospiraceae. The record is from RNAcentral. RNAcentral also lists the same sequence under 2 other names.